Molecule: unclassified non-coding RNA, 336 nt
Filed under: soil metagenome
Description: partial contains 5.8S ribosomal RNA, internal transcribed spacer 2, and large subunit ribosomal RNA
Rfam family: 5.8S ribosomal RNA (bases 1-120)
Source: RNAcentral
GAUGAAGAACGUAGUGAAAUGCGAUAAGUAGUGUGAAUUGCAGAAUUCAGUGAAUCAUCGAAUCUUUGAACGCACAUUGCGCCCCUUGGUAUUCCAUGGGGCAUGCCUGUUCGAGCGUCAUUUGUGCCUUCAAGCUUUGCUUGGUGUUGGGUGUUUGUCUCGCCUUUGCGUGUAGACUCGCCUUAAAAUAAUUGGCAGCCGGCGUAUUGAUUUCGGAGCGCAGUACAUCUCGCGCUUUGCACUCAUAACGACAGCGUCCAAAAGUACAUUUUACACUCUUGACCUCGGAUCAGGUAGGGAUACCCGCUGAACUUAAGCAUAUCAAUAAGCGGAGGA